RNAcentral lists this transfer RNA (72 nucleotides) under Sphaerodactylus townsendi. Its description in RNAcentral is "tRNA-Asn". The record is from RNAcentral. Lineage: Eukaryota; Metazoa; Chordata; Lepidosauria; Squamata; Sphaerodactylidae.
GGGGUCACUGCUCAAUGGUAGAAUACCUGCUUGUUAUGCAAAAGGUCCCAGGUUUGAUCCCUGCCAUCUCCA